RNAcentral lists this long non-coding RNA (232 nucleotides) under Lonchura striata (white-rumped munia). RNAcentral describes it as "domestica (Bengalese finch) lncRNA (ENSLSDG00000016644.1)". Lineage: Eukaryota; Metazoa; Chordata; Aves; Passeriformes; Estrildidae. The record is from RNAcentral.
CGGGAUGGUUACAUACAAAGGCUGCUUUCCAGGAACUUUCCAGGAACCGCAUCAUGUGACAGGACCCGCUCCGGCGCCUCCGCCGCGAUCGCGGCCAGCCGGGGCCGACGCACCGAGCCGCCGCCCCUGUCACGCCGGGGCAGCGGUCGCCGAACGCUGCCCCGCGGCCCCCCCGCCUCCUUCUCCUCCGCCCGCGGAGCCACGGGCGACGCGCAGGCAAAAAUCCCUUUAA